RNAcentral lists this transfer RNA (70 nucleotides) under Selaginella moellendorffii. It matches the Rfam family "tRNA". Rfam says of the family: Transfer RNA (tRNA) molecules are approximately 80 nucleotides in length. Lineage: Eukaryota; Viridiplantae; Streptophyta; Lycopodiopsida; Selaginellales; Selaginellaceae. The record is from Rfam by way of RNAcentral.
GCACGCUGGUCUAGUGGUAGAAUAGUUCCCUGCCAUGGAACAGACCCGGGUUCGAUUCCUGGGCAGUGCA